Molecule: unclassified non-coding RNA, 230 nt
Filed under: plant metagenome
Description: partial contains small subunit ribosomal RNA, internal transcribed spacer 1, and 5.8S ribosomal RNA
Source: RNAcentral
UCUCCGUAGGUGAACCUGCGGAGGGAUCAUUACCGAGCUCAUGCACUUACGGGUAGAUCUCCCACCCUGUGUUAUUAUUACCUUUGUUGCUUUGGCGGGCCGCCAGGCUCCGGUCAGGCUAUCGGCUUCGGCUGGUAAGCGCCCGCCAGAGGACCCUAUAUCCUGAUUAUUAGUAUCGUCUGAGUACUAUAUAAUAGUUAAAACUUUCAACAACGGAUCUCUUGGUUCUG